UAGCUUUUCCAUUUAUAUAUGGGGCACUGAGACUUGCUCAAGGUCACAUGGAUGAUAAAUGAAAAACUCAGCUUUCGAUGCUAUGAGUCUGGCUGCCUCCCAUGAGAGGUGACUGGGCUUAAGCCAUCUUGAAAGAACUUACCCAAGAUAGCAGCUUGCUGGGGCAAGGGAACCAUUGGCUGUGAGGAUGGAAAGAUGAGUAAGGCUGUCACAGACACCUGGAAGGGAUGGCAUUGCCUAGUGAAUGGGGGGGCCAAGAGAGCGAAAGAAUGAACCACACUGCUCUUCCUACUGGAGGUGUGUGGACUGUGCAUGAGGGCCUGCAUGAAGGAAGUCUUGAGUUAAAUAUAAUAUUAGACCUUGAGUUAAAUAUAUUAGACCAUAAUGCUAAUGACAGAAAGCGCAUCUCAGUUAAUUAUCAUCAGGAUCCAAGAUGCUGACAACACUUGACAUCCAUCCUUCCUUGCCUGAUCUUUGUCUAAAGUCACUGAUUGAUCUAGAGGUUGAACAGAGGGAAAUUUAAAAUACAGCAUUGUUUCACCUUUUUGCCUAUAAAGCUAGUUGGAGAAUAGGGCUUCUAUUGUGCCCCACAGAGCCCUGCUAAAACCUUAUCCCAGAGUUGCCUUGCUUGCCCUGUCACAGCAGUAUUGGACAACUGCUAUUAAGAAAUAAUGCAGAAGACAGGCGAGAGACUUGGGAGCAUCUUUCAGUGAACGUUCUUCUACUUGGAUAUGUGAGGAGUGGAGAAUAAGUUCCUUUAAUAGUAGCCUGGGUGAAGUUGUUCUCAAAACUGAAAAUGACCAGAAAAAGAUGGAAUCUUCCACAAAUAGUGGCAAAAGGCAGAGACAAGAAUGUGGACAGAACAUGUUUGAUCUAAAAAAGCUCUACCUUGAAACCUAGAAAUUCAGCCCAUUCUACAUGAAGGUGACAUUUGCAGACCAGAUCGUUUGUAUUCACUUUCCAGGUGAGGGGAAAACACACAGUCCUAACUUAUUUCUAAGUGUGAACCACAAUCUCUUUUCAUUUAUUUAUCUCACUUCACUAUUUAUGCUAUUUAUGCGUUCCAUCACCCCAGUCCUCCCACUGAUUGCAACAUUAUUCAAGUUAAUUUUCAUAAAUAAAUUAUUCCAACAAAGGAUUAAGUAUAAAUUAGUUGACAUAAUUGUGCAUCAAUUUUGGUAAAUACAGAAUGUGAUGUUAAGUAUUUUAUGCUAACAUAAGCUCUUGGUUUCGCUGAUAAUUAAAAUUUUCUGAAUAAUAACAAAUCGCAUCCUUCUCAUUAUCCUUAAGGUUCCUUUAAGCCCCAUGAAUUUCAAUAGAGAGUGAUGAAGGAAAUGAAAAGUGUUCUUAGCUAGGCUGCUGUGUAGUAUACAACAAAAUAGAAAACACACUCACAGCUUCCUUUCUUAAUGAAAGUAUUUUUCACUUCCAUCAGUAGACAAUUUUUCUGCCUUAAUUUUGAAGGACUUCCCAACACAACAAGAUUGAAUGUAAUCAUUCACAGAAAUUCAACUGCCGAAAAUUGGUAACGCCAUUUUAUUCCAUAAGUCGAAGUAAUUUUGGGGCUCAAAUAACAUCAUAAGGCUAAAGUAAUUUAUUUCAAAGAUGUGUCCAGAGGAAGGAUUCUUGAUCAUUGUCUUCUGUUCCUUUUUCUCCUACAUUGUACAUGUCCCUUUCUUUCUUUCUUUCUUUCUUUCUUUCUUUCUUUCUUUCUUUCUUUCUUUCUUUCUUUCUUUCUUUCUUUCUUUCUUUCUUUCUCUCUCUUUCUUUUCUUCUCCCUUCCUUCCUUCCUUCCUACUUUCUUUCUUUUCUUUCUUUUCCUUGGGCUACACCCAUGGCAUGUGGAAGUUCCCAGGUGAGGGGUCAAAUUGGAGCUGUAGCUGCUGGCCUACACCACAACUCAGAGCAAUGCUGGAUCCUUAAACCACUGAGUAAGGCCAGGUACCGAACCCGCAACCUCAUGGAUGCUAGUCAGGUUUGCUACUGCUGAGCCACAAUGGGAACUCCCUUGCAUGUCCUUUCUUCUCUUCUAUGUUCUCUCCCUCUUCCCCUUUUCAAUUCCAUACCACUUCCUGCCCUUUUUUACUCCUUCAGGAGAUUCAGACUUACUGAGUCCUUAGUUCCCAAGACCCUGGGGAGAGAAUCUUUUCUCAAAGAAUUCCAGCAGAGCCCUUAAAGCCUGGCUCAGGUCACAUCUCUACCAAUGUGAAGUGCCCUGAAAGAUGUGGCUCUGAUGGGUCAGGUCUUUGUUUUAAUCUGAAACUGGAGAGAAGAGAUGAUGAAUCACAAUGAUGAAGCAACAGGAGAGGAUGAGUCCUGAAAGCAUAAGACAUGUUCUCUUAUUAAGAAAAGGAAGCAAUGGAUGCUGGCCCAGACAGAAUAGAGUACCUCUACAGCUCUGUGUGUGUGUGUGAGUGUACACUUAGGGGACAUGCUAGGAAAGCCCUUUCCCAACAUAAAGGUAUAAUAUUUUUUUAUGUUUUUACAAUUAUACUUAAUGCAAUAAACAUUUGGUUUUGGUGUGAAGUAGAGGCAUCUUUUAAAUCUAUUUUAAGAAACAGACAAUUUCCAGAAACUGUUUAUUGAAUAAUUCAUCCUUCCUCAGCUGAUUUUAGUGAACAUGGCUUUUAAAAUCUAAGUUGCCAUGUCUAUGUGCAGAGCAAAUAGAGACCUGAUUGCUUCACUUUUUGCUACAAUGCAUUUCCUGUCAUGAAAGCACAACAGCUUCUCUUGGUAGCCUCCUGGGUUGGCUCAAAUAGCCCCCAGGGAAUGUGUGGUCUCGUGGUCAAGAGCUUAACUUGAGAUCUCUUCUCUCUGCAGACCACUGUCAUGGUAGCCUUUGAAUAACCAAGGACAUUUUUUUGUCUGUGUGUUUCUAAAUCGUUGUUUUAUUUCUUCUUACAUAUAUCCACUAACAUAUAGAUAAUAGAGAUAGGUAGAUAGAUAGAGAUAAAGAGAAAAUUGCAUAAAAUACAUUAAUGCUGUCAUAUACAUGUUUUUAAAUUACUUCAGGAGUUCCCAUCAUGGCACAGCGGAAGUGAAUCCGGCUAGGAACCAUGAGGUUGUGGGUUCAAUCCCUGGCCUCGCUCAGCGGGUUAAGGAUCUGGCAUUGCCGUGAGCUGUGGUAUAGGUUGCAGACAUGGCUCAGAUCUGGUGUUGCUGUGGCUCUGGCGUAGGCUGGUGGCUUCAGCUCCGAUUAGACCCCUAGCCUGGGAACCUCCAUAUGCCACCGUGGAUGCAGUCCUAGAAAAAAAAAGACAAAAAUUAUUUCAAAUUUCCCCCCUUGAGUUGUUGCUCACCAUGGAUUUUGUUUUUUAUACAUUCCAUUUCUUUAUCCAAGGAGUAUUAAAAAUAAUUGAAUAAUUGAAAAACACUUUUCUAAUCAAUUUAAAAUUGACAUAAACAUAAGUUUUUGUGCCAACUCUGACAGAUAAUAUAAAUUGAGAGCAAAGAUAUUUCCUUUAGCUUUUUUAAGACAUCAGAAAUUAGAUUGAUUUAAAAUAUAAAUAUUAGGUAGCUGUUCUAUGGUGGAAAUAGUGGUAGAUAUGAAGUCAGCACAUUCCUAUUCAUUAUCUGCUCGGCAUUGGGCCAGUUGCCUAACUUCUAAGCAAUGGUUUCCUCAUCCCUAAAAUAAAGGGAAUACUAUGGCUUAUAAGGUUAUUUUAAAGAUUAAAUAAGAUUUAUUGAACUCCAUUAUCAAUUUGGAAGUAUGCUAACUUGCUGAAUCAGUGUUUAAUUAGUUGUGACUCAUCUUUAAAGCCACCAAAUUGCUCUCACAUACUGCCAUAGCCAAACCCUCUCAACAUAGGAGACAACUUAGUAUUACUUAGUCAUGUCAAUAAAACACUCCCCACAUCUCUUCUAGAACUGUCUCUCAUGCUGCUCAAAUCCAAAUCCACGAAUUCCAAAAAUUAAUAAAGGACAAAUAAAUUGAAAAAAUUGUAACUGUUUGACUCCAAGCCUUGCUGUCUUUUGCUGUCUUUGAAGAAAUGGGCAGCCACGUUGGAAAAGCCUACACGCAGGGAACUCUAGGCAGUGGUUUGAAGCUAAGGGCAGUCCCUGUACUACAAAGAACAAGAAGGUGAAGCCCUUGGUCCAGCAGCUACAAGGAAAUGAAUUCUACCAACAACCUGAGAGAGUUUGGAAGUAGCUCCUCCCCCAGUUGAGCCUCUGAUGAGACCAUAGCCCCAGUUAACAUCUUGAUUUUAGCCUUGUCAGAAGCAGGUGACACAGCUAAGCCAUGAUUGAAUUCCAGACCCACAGAAACUAUAGAUACUAUUUACAGAAAUUAUGCAUAGUAAAUAAGGAUUGUUUUAAGCUGCUAUGUUUGUGGUUAUUGAUUAUGCAUCAGUAGAUAACUGGUACUUUUUUUUUUCGAAAUUUUUCACCAGACCAUAUACUCGCUAUGGGCAUCUGAGAAGCCAGUGAGUAAGGAAUGAUCUUAAUCCAUUAUAUAAUGAAAAUAGUUGAAAUCAAGGGAUAAAUAAUAAGGUAACAUUUAAGAGCCAAGGAUACAGUAGAAACUAUAUGAAUCAUUGGUCUGGGAUUCAGGUUCUAGUUUCUGAGCACAAUUUGGACAUUUCUUGUUAUUCUAAUCCUUGUACCUUCCCCCUCACUAUCUGCGUAAUUUAAAAAUCAAAUGUCUGAACUAAAUUCAUUUUAAGUUCCAUUGUAGCUAUAGAUUUAUCAAGGGUUUUAAAAUUAUAGUCUAAGUGUUGCAGUUUUAUUACCUCUAGUUAACCAUUAAAUAGACUUCAUGUUUAUUUUGGAAUUCCAGACAUUCAUAAACACUCAGGUGGGAUUAAAAAGGCUUUAUUUAAUGACCAAAGAGAGCACAUUAACUUUCACUGCAUACCAGAUGAUUAAUUUACAUAGUAUUUUUUUUUUAUUAUCUCAUCUGUUUUGUUAAGCUGGGAGAUCUACCAUCAGGAAUAUGACAAUUUGGAUACAGAGCAUUAAGUAUAAACAGAUGUUCUCAACUCAUUACUGUUUUAAAGUAAAGUGAUUUCUUUUCUUUCCAAGCUGAAAAUGAAAUAUUAGAUCUUUAUACAUUCCUGGUCCACACAC
This 5067-nucleotide long non-coding RNA is filed under the name Sus scrofa (pig). RNAcentral's name for it is "lncRNA (ENSSSCG00000062918.1)". Lineage: Eukaryota; Metazoa; Chordata; Mammalia; Artiodactyla; Suidae. The record is from RNAcentral.